Molecule: long non-coding RNA, 376 nt
Organism: Notothenia coriiceps (black rockcod)
Lineage: Eukaryota; Metazoa; Chordata; Actinopteri; Perciformes; Nototheniidae
Exons: 3
Source: RefSeq, a predicted model, not a curated record
CGAACCCUGUCUGUUUUUCAGACCGUCAUCACCUGCAUCGGGACGCUGAAGAAAAGCACGGCGGACGAAGAGGGUGUCAGCUGUUUGGUGAUCGGCACGGAGAGCUGCGACGUCUUCGUGCUCGACCCCGAGGCCUUCAUCAUCCUCUCCACAAUGUCGCUGCCCGCCCCCCCCACCAUGAUGGAUGUUACCGGGCAGUUUGACGUUGAGUUUCGCAUCACGGUGGCGUGUCGUAACGGAAACAUCUACAUCCUGCGCAGGGAGUCGGAGAAACCGAAGUACUGCAUCGAGCUGUCGAGCCACCCGGUGGGUCUGGUGCGGGUCGGGAAGAACGUGGUGGUGGGCUGCGCCGACGAGAGCCUGCAGGGGUUCACCC